RNAcentral lists this transfer RNA (66 nucleotides) under human gut metagenome. It matches the Rfam family "tRNA". From Rfam's summary of the family: Transfer RNA (tRNA) molecules are approximately 80 nucleotides in length. Their secondary structure includes four short double-helical elements and three loops (D, anti-codon, and T loops). Further hydrogen bonds mediate the characteristic L-shaped molecular structure. tRNAs have two regions of fundamental functional importance: the anti-codon, which is responsible for specific mRNA codon recognition, and the 3' end, to which the tRNAs corresponding amino acid is attached (by aminoacyl-tRNA synthetases). tRNAs cope with the degeneracy of the genetic code in two manners: having more than one tRNA (with a specific anti-codon) for a particular amino acid; and 'wobble' base-pairing, i.e. permitting non-standard base-pairing at the 3rd anti-codon position. The record is from RNAcentral. RNAcentral also lists the same sequence under 1 other name.
UCUGUAGCUCAGUUGGUAGAGCAAAGGACUGAAAAUCCUUGUGUCGAUGGUUCGAUUCCAUCCGGA